GCCGGGGUAGCCCAAUUGGCAGAGGCACAUGGCUUAGGACCAUGUAAGUGUGAGUUCGAAUCUCACUCCCGGUACUA
Molecule: transfer RNA, 77 nt
Filed under: Planctomycetota bacterium
Lineage: Bacteria; Pseudomonadati; Planctomycetota
Description: Planctomycetes bacterium tRNA-Leu
Rfam family: tRNA
About the family: Transfer RNA (tRNA) molecules are approximately 80 nucleotides in length. Their secondary structure includes four short double-helical elements and three loops (D, anti-codon, and T loops).
Source: RNAcentral